GGGCCCUACGGGGGGCAGCAGUGGGGAAUAUUGCACAAUGGGGGGAACCCUGAUGCAGCGACGCCGCGUAAAGGAAGAAGUAUUUCGGUAUGUAAACUUCUAUCAGCAGGGAAGAAAAAGGACGGUACCUGACUAAGAAGCCCCGGCUAACUACGUGCAAGCAGCCGCGGUAAUACGUAGGGGGCAAGCGUUAUCCGGAUUUACUGGGUGUAAAGGGAGCGUAGACGGCGUGCCAAGUCUGAUGUGAACGGCCGGGGCUCAACCCCGAGACUGCAUUGGAAACUGGCAUGCUGGA
RNAcentral lists this ribosomal RNA (295 nucleotides) under uncultured bacterium. RNAcentral describes it as "partial 16S ribosomal RNA". It matches the Rfam family "Bacterial small subunit ribosomal RNA", at positions 334 to 645 of the family's 1533-position model. The record is from RNAcentral.